RNAcentral lists this transfer RNA (69 nucleotides) under Spicara maena (blotched picarel). RNAcentral's name for it is "tRNA-Ala". It matches the Rfam family "tRNA". Rfam says of the family: Transfer RNA (tRNA) molecules are approximately 80 nucleotides in length. Their secondary structure includes four short double-helical elements and three loops (D, anti-codon, and T loops). The record is from RNAcentral. Lineage: Eukaryota; Metazoa; Chordata; Actinopteri; Spariformes; Centracanthidae.
AAAGCUUUAGCUUAAUUAAGGCGUCUGUUUUGCACGCAGGAGAUGUAAGUUAAAGUCUUGCAAGUUUUA